GACGAACGCUGGCGGCGUGCUUAACAAAUGCAAGUCGAACGGAAAGGCCCUGCUUUUGUGGGGUGCUCGAGUGGCGAACGGGUGAGUAACACGUGAGUAACCUGCCCUUGACUUUGGGAUAACUUCAGGAAACUGGGGCUAAUACCGGAUAGGAGCUCCUGCUGCAUGGUGGGGGUUGGAAAGUUUCGGCGGUUGGGGAUGGACUCGCGGCUUAUCAGCUUGUUGGUGGGGUAGUGGCUUACCAAGGCUUUGACGGUUCGCCGGCCUGAGAGGGUGACCGGCCACAUUGGGACUGAGAUACGGCCCAGACUCCUACGGGAGGCAGCAGUGGGGAAUAUUGCACAAUGGGCGGAAGCCUGAUGCAGCAACGCCGCGUGCGGGAGUACGGCCUUCGGGUUGUAAACCGCUUUCGCCUGUGACGAAGCGUGAGUGACGGUAAUGGGUAAAGAAGCACCGGCUAACUACGUG
This 468-nucleotide ribosomal RNA is filed under the name uncultured bacterium. RNAcentral describes it as "partial 16S ribosomal RNA". It matches the Rfam family "Bacterial small subunit ribosomal RNA", at positions 28 to 507 of the family's 1533-position model. The record is from RNAcentral.